CCUACGGGGGGCAGCAGUGGGGAAUAUUGCACAAUGGGGGAAACCCUGAUGCAGCGACGCCGCGUGAGUGAAGAAGUAAUUCGUUAUGUAAAGCUCUAUCAGCAGGGAAGAAAAUGACGGUACCUGAGUAAGAAGCCCCGGCUAACUACGUGCCAGCAGCCGCGGUAAUACGUAGGGGGCAAGCGUUAUCCGGAUUUACGGGGUGGAAAGGGAGCGUAGACGGCAUUGCAAGUCUGGAGUGAAAGGCGGGGGCUCAACCCCCGGACUGCUCUGGAAACUGUACGGCUGGAGUGCAGGAGAGGUAAGUGGAAUUCCUAGUGUAGCGGUGAAAUGCGUAGAUAUUAGGAGGAACACCAGUGGCGAAGGCGGCUUACUGGACUGUAACUGACGUUGAGGCUCGAAAGCGUGGGGAGCAAACAGGAUUAGAUACCCCUGUAGUC
This 440-nucleotide ribosomal RNA is filed under the name uncultured bacterium. Its description in RNAcentral is "partial 16S ribosomal RNA". It matches the Rfam family "Bacterial small subunit ribosomal RNA", at positions 338 to 795 of the family's 1533-position model. The record is from RNAcentral.